UACGAAGGGUGCUAGCGUUGAUCGGAAUUACUGGGCGUAAAGCGCACGCAGGCGGACCGAUAAGUCGGGUGUGAAAGCCCGGGGCUCAACCUCGGAAUUGCCUUCGAUACUGUCGGUCUCGAGUCCGGGAGAGGGGGGUGGAAUUCCUAGUGUAGCGGUGAAAUGCGUAGAUAUCAGGAAGAACACCAGUGGCGAAGGCGGCCCACUGGCCCGGUACUGACGCUCAGGUGCGAAAGCGUGGGGAGCAAACAGG
RNAcentral lists this ribosomal RNA (253 nucleotides) under uncultured bacterium. RNAcentral describes it as "partial 16S ribosomal RNA". It matches the Rfam family "Bacterial small subunit ribosomal RNA", at positions 524 to 776 of the family's 1533-position model. The record is from RNAcentral.